Molecule: ribosomal RNA, 502 nt
Filed under: uncultured bacterium
Lineage: Bacteria
Description: partial 16S ribosomal RNA
Rfam family: Bacterial small subunit ribosomal RNA
Source: RNAcentral
AUUGAACGCUGGCGGCAUGCCUUACACAUGCAAGUCGAACGGCAGCAUAGGAGCUUGCUCCUGAUGGCGAGUGGCGAACGGGUGAGUAAUAUAUCGGAACGUGCCCUAGAGUGGGGGAUAACUAGUCGAAAGACUAGCUAAUACCGCAUACGAUCUACGGAUGAAAGUGGGGGAUCGCAAGACCUCAUGCUCCUGGAGCGGCCGAUAUCUGAUUAGCUAGUUGGGGGGGUAAAAGCCUACCAAGGCAACGAUCAGUAGCUGGUCUGAGAGGACGACCGGCCACACGGGGACUGGGACACGGCCCAGACUCCUACGGGAGGCAGCAGUGGGGAAUUUUGGACAAUGGGGGCAACCCUGAUCCAGCAAUGCCGCGUGAGUGAAGAAGGCCUUCGGGUUGUAAAGCUCUUUUGUCAGGGAAGAAACGGUAGUAGGGAAUAACGACUACUAAUGACGGUACCUGAAGAAUAAGCACCGGCUAACUACGUGCCAGCAGCCGCGGUAA